AACCGCUAGGGGUGCGCAUCGCUGAGAAUGAGUUUUUGACUCUGACCCUCACUACUUGAACCGGGUAAUACCGGCGUAAGGAAGCAG
This 87-nucleotide non-coding RNA is filed under the name uncultured Acetatifactor sp. The record is from RNAcentral. Lineage: Bacteria; Bacillati; Bacillota; Clostridia; Lachnospirales; Lachnospiraceae.